This 2574-nucleotide unclassified non-coding RNA is filed under the name Mizuhopecten yessoensis (Yesso scallop). RNAcentral's name for it is "uncharacterized LOC110442949, transcript variant X1". Lineage: Eukaryota; Metazoa; Mollusca; Bivalvia; Pectinida; Pectinidae. The record is from RNAcentral.
UGCAUCAUACAGUCUAACCAGGGAACAGCCAUCUUGGUUUUAGAUAACAUGGCGUCGAGGGCAAUAACGUAAUAAUUUCAUUUUAGAAGGAAGUGCCAGAUUUGAAGAUGAUUCUUGGAACUAAUUUGCGAUGUCUCAUGCUAUUGACUGGGUAUAUGAUUUUGGUGUUCGGAGACCCUCAGGCUUGUACGUAUACCGAAUCAUCCAACUCCUACGAAUGUAACGCGCACAACUGGGCUUUACCUCUGCAACUGACACAGUUCAACUACACACCACAGGUACUGUCUUUGAUACAGGUAAAUGGCGAGCUCCCAUCAUCAGCCCCCAGCGGCCCAACAUUUGACGGAUUUGAUGGCAUCGACAGCUCGACCCUUGACCCCAAUUACGUGCCCAGCCUCCACAUCCGGUGUGCUAUUACCGGUCAACUCAUCCUGACUCCGGGUUCUUUUGCAAACAUGUCCUAUAUAAACGAGCUUCGAUUUUUUGACUGUUCCGUGUUAAAUCUUGCUGAUACAGUUUUCAGUGAACUUGUGGAGCUGAACUAUCUCAGUUUUGACGGCGGGUUGGUGAGUAACGUCGGUUUUGAUGCCUUCUCUGGUUUGAAUAUCUAUCCUAUGGCCGUUCCCAACCCUCUGGGUCUUUUGGCCUUUCGAAAUUCUCAACUGACAUCUUCUGGACUUCCUAACGGCGUCCUGUACAACCUAGAGAACAUCACACAGAUUAUCAUAGAGAACUCCGCUUUACGAGUGUUACAACCAGAUAUGUUUAAGAAAUCGACAAAACUGACGUACAUUUCACUCGACAGCAACCCAUUUACGAAGAUCACCGAAGGGCUGUUCGCGGAACUUUCCGCGCUCUCGGUGGUGAGCAUGAGCGGCAUCAGUUGGGAUUGCACGUGCCCACAGCUCUGGUUUGAAGAUUACCUCACAGAAAACAAUAUAACAUUGAUAGGCGACAUUGUUUGUAAUACUCCGUCUGACUAUGAAAACAAACGUUCCAAACAGUACGAAUCGGAGACAUGUGCUCAACCUGAUGCAUGUGGAGACCUGCCUGGAAUCGCAAACGGAGAUACUUGUAUCACUUACUGGGACAUAGCAGCCUACAGCCUCCACCCCGUCGCCGUUGUCAUGGCAGCCGUUGCUCUUGGUCUAUCCAUCUACACAAGACGACAACUUGAUUUCGUCAAGGAAGACCGCCAGGGGACGCGACCUCAGCUAGGUCUCCGGAAGUUAAGUGGCUCCGGAUGGAACAGAAUUGUCAGCGAAAAACCAAGUGGUGGCCUAAGCAAGGCCACACCGAGAUCAUCUGUAGGAGGGAAAGAUAAUGACAACGCCAAAGGACCAAGUGACGUUAAGGAGGCUAGGCCCAGCAAAAAACAAAAUGGCGGUGAAACUUUGGUAAAGGAAACAAACAAUAACGAUAACGAGAUUACAAAAAUAGAAACUGAGGACAAUGCUGACGUCAGACAAAAGGCUGACGUUGAACUUUAGCUCUGGCGAAAAUAUGAAAAAAAAUUGCGUCAUAAAAAAACUAAUGUAAUUAAGCUUCAAUGAAAUAUACAAAGCUGAAAUCAUACAAACAUGUGGUCGAACCUAAGCUAUUAAAGAUUUUUAUGUGAUGACGUUGUGAAUAGAAGAUAUGGAAGCCCUGCAGUUUUAAGGUCCGUUAAGCGUGUCAUUUUAUGUAGAAGGUUUACAAAAGUUUACCUUAUCAACAGUUAAUGAUAACCGUUUCAACGAGAACGUUUCGGUUUGCUUACUUUUAUGUUACUUUAUUAAUGAAGUCGUGUGUAACGUAUAUAAACCAAAUUCAAGGAUUCAGCACUGUAAACUCAGGAUGAAAAACACUGGAACAGAUAUUUCAUUUCAAAAUGUACAAAAGUACCACAGAAUGUAUUGAAGGAAAGUCAUGUAUCACAACCAGUAAGUGUUUAUAUGUGACAUUUCAAUGAUUAGUACGGUACGUACCCUGUCAACUACAUCGGACAAACGACCAGUGAAGCGUAUGUACACAAAGUGAAAAAGAAUGUACGCGCUUUUAUUACGUACAAUUAUCAGACAAAUGACCAGCGAAGCGUAUGUACACAAAGGUGUAAAAUACGUACCAGCUUUUAUUACGUACAAUUAUCAGACAAAUGACCAGUGAAGCGUAUGUACACAAAGGUGUAAAAUAUAAAAUCAAAACCCGAUUCAAAUACGCUAACAUUUAUUCACACUAUGUAAAACCAUAUAUAUAUAUAUGUAUAAGUGUACAGUACAUACGCUUUCAGCAUAUUGUCGUCAACUGUUUGUUCCUGUUAUUUUGUUCAGUCUCUUGUCUUUAAUAUGUUGUUGGACUGUACAGUUGUUAAAAUGUAGCCAGUCCAUCACAACCUAAAGCGAUUAUAAAAUCCAUUAGACAAGAACAAAGACGUAUUGUUUCCAGCAAUUAUGGGAAGGAAGAGCACUCCAACAAAUAUGAGCAUCAAGUCGGCCUAAGGGAAGAGAAAUCACUCCUGUGAAACAGAACAAGCAAUUAUAGUCAAACUAUAUUGACCUGUCGUGUUUACUUUUCAAAUUACCAUUAUUUGAAGAA